GCAGCCCAACUUGGAUGGAGUUGGGGUCCUGGCCCCCACAGCCGGCAGCUGAGAGCCCAGCGCCCCCGCCGCCGCCGCUCCGACCCGCUCUCCGCUGCUCUCCUCUCCCGCGAAGGGAAAAGUGGGCGCGGGCGGCGGCUUCCCCCGGGGCUGAGCGCGCUCCUCGCGGGCGCGGGGUUCCGGGGCAUCCGCGCCCCGGGCGCCUGCGGGCGCGGCUCCUGUGCUGUCCCGAGGUCCCAGGGCCCCGCCCUGGGGACGCCAGCACCUGAUGCCGCAAGGCCCGGCCGCUGCCACUCCCUCCCCUCCCGGAGCGCCUCAGGCGCAGAGCGGGGAGCGGGAGCCGAGCUGGAGUGGAAACCCGGGGUACUUUGAGCAGCGGGACCCUGGAACUCCUCAGCAAGAGUAACAAAGCUACAGGCUUCGGAGCUGGAGGAGCUGAGUUGACGAUCAGCACCUUGGAGGGGACAAGAACUCCGCACACAAAGGCGGCUCCACUUGGCUCACCGCCACAGCGUCUUGAGUGGAGAAGUGGCGGUGAGGCGCGAUCAAAGAGAUAUCUCUGAGCACCUAAGAUGUUGCAGACGCUGAUGAAGAGGUGUGUGUGACAUGGUAUAAAAAGUGAGGAACAUUCGUACGAGGCUGUAGAAGAUGCAGGUCUCUGAUGGCAGAACUGCUAGGGAGGGUGAUGACCUGUUUGAUUCCUUUCAUGACAUCCACCCACUCCCCUGUAACAUCACCAUCGUGUCAUCUCCAGCCUGCUCUCCAGGAAGAGCGAAUGUGUGGAAGCUGGCGCCUGAGUUCUCCCUGCUGCCUGCUGACCCUAGAGAGGUGGAUAGACAUGGACACUCACUGAACAUCAGGCUACUGACACGUGUUAUCAGGCCUUGCUUGAAUGAAAUCACCCAUAUCAUGGAAAUCAGAAUACUGACUACACUGUUAAUGCAGUGUUCAUGCCACAGCAGUUCUCUGAAGAAAAAGAAAAUGUGUCUAACGCUCCCAGUUUUAUUUCAUCUGAAUUUUUUCUUUCUCUCUCUCCUAACCCUGAUAUCUCUUUGUGGCAGAGCAGCAACAAAAACAACAAUGCCAACAACUCCAGUCUGAGGCCAAACUGCCAGAAACCAAGGAUGAAAAAGACUACCCCUCCUCCCUAGUCUUCUUCUGUGCCCCUGGGCUUUCCUUGGCAGGAAUGCUUUCCAUAUUUCUCAGGAGCCAUGGAGCUGUGAGUACAGUUUUUCCUGGAAACAGAGGCAGAAGGUUCCUGCUUCCCUUAUGGCAGGCUCACAUUCUCACUCAGAGAAUCAAGCAUUUCUUCCCCUUCCUGUUUCAGCAGUUCCCACCCCCAGCCUCAAACCAAAUCAAGAUAGGUAGGGCUGCUACCUGGAGGAGUCUCUCUGAGCCCCAUGAGAGAGUUCAGAGUGCCUCUCAGACAACAUAACUUUGGAUUGGACUAUGGCUUCAGCUGUGACUCUUUCUCCUGGAAAACUAUAUGUUGGAUGACACAAGAAGAUGCUCUCUGCAGAGUAUAAUCCAGUCACAAAGACCAAAGAUUGAGGGGAAGUUGCCAUUUUUCCUUGCCGUUUACCCGCCAAGAGUCUCUCUCUCUGGGGCGCCUGGGUGGUGCAGUCGUUAAGCGUCUGCCUUCGGCUCAGGGCGUGAUCCCGGCGUUAUGGGAUCAAGCCCCACAU
Long non-coding RNA from Ailuropoda melanoleuca (giant panda), 1685 nucleotides. RefSeq lists it as uncharacterized. The record is from RefSeq and is a predicted model, not a curated record. The transcript is spliced from 4 exons. NCBI's taxonomy places the organism in Eukaryota, Metazoa, Chordata, Mammalia, Carnivora, Ursidae.